Molecule: transfer RNA, 70 nt
Filed under: Ictidomys tridecemlineatus (thirteen-lined ground squirrel)
Lineage: Eukaryota; Metazoa; Chordata; Mammalia; Rodentia; Sciuridae
Description: Spermophilus tridecemlineatus (thirteen-lined ground squirrel) tRNA
Rfam family: tRNA
About the family: Transfer RNA (tRNA) molecules are approximately 80 nucleotides in length. Their secondary structure includes four short double-helical elements and three loops (D, anti-codon, and T loops).
Source: Rfam by way of RNAcentral
GGGGAUGUAGCUCAUUUGGAAGAGUGUUUGCCUUGCAUGCACAAGGCCUUGGGUUCCAUACCCAGCACCA